UGCAGUUCUUUCACAUACUCCUUUGUUCCUGAGCAGCCAGGAGUUUUCAGUUUGUUUCUAAGGUGCUAAAAGAGGAUCAGAGUGGCCUGAGCUCAGGGAUGCUUCAGCCGAAGCUCUAACAGGACGUGUCUUUUAAUAGAAUGAAGGUGUGAUGAUUCUCAGUGCACUGUAGAGUUUGUUCUUCAGGAAGACAAAGGAAGCACAGUGCAGAACUGUUGCAUCUGGAGCUUCUCCCACAGCCAGGGAGAGACUGUCAUGGACAUGGAAGCUGAAGCUCUGGACAUGAUGAUGGAGCCGUGAAAGCAGAACCAGCUCUGCUUCAGAGUGUCUUGCUAUGAUGCUCAAAUAUGCAACACUUGUUUUCAGCAAUGAUUAGCUUGACCCUCUGCUCUACAAAUGCUAAUCUACAUCUGUGUCUUAUUCUGGAACAGAGCCCAAAGUCCUGGAGCUGUUGUAGCUCAGCACACAAUUGCAAAAGGAGGAAUAUGAUGUGGUUCUAGAAGUGCAGCAGAAGGGAGGAAGCUGCAGUCCCCCAAGGUUCCCUGCCCACUUAAAGACCAUGUUCAUCAGGAUACACCUGCUGAGUUUCCUGCUGUGAACAUCUGACAUGCAGCUGAUACAAAAGGACAGAACUGAGGGAGCAGAGAGCCAAAGAAUGAAAAAGGAUGCAAAAGAUGUUGGCAUUUUCCUGCUUACUUUUGUGAUGGUGCUAUGAUUCAAUGCAGGCUGAAAUGGCUUUGUCCUCACACUGGGUGCACAGCAAGAUGGAUGCUUGCUAUGUGGAACCCAGUGUCCCCUGCUCCAAGUGCUGCUCUCCCAUUUAACAAAGAGCUUUAUCCAAAUGGGUAGCUGACAUUAUUUCCUAAGGGCACAGACAUUCCUAACAAGGACGUCAAUGACAACUUCAAGCAUAGCAAAAAGAGUAUUCCUAUCAUUCUUCAAAGAAACGUUUUUACUUAUUACCUGUCACUGGGAAUACAAUAGGAAUCUUAAAGAUGACUUGGAGACGAUUUGGAAAAGCAAAACUUACAAUCUGCAAACUGCACAUAACAUUUCUUUGAGACACAAAAAGUUACUGAGGCUCCUGCCUGCAAGAGAGUGCCAUAAGCAUCCCUGCAGAUAUUUAUUCUGACCUCCUGGACCUUUGUCCGAGGCUCAUUCAUUGGGUUUAAAUAAAUAAGCAUUAACAAACCCAAGGCUCCACAUCUUCCACUGUCCUGCAUUGAGCCAAGAUCUUAAGCAAAGAGGCUUAAGUCACAUUUAUAUUUCCUUUGACCUAGAGACAGAGCACUGCUCAGUAUAUCCCAAUUACGGAGCAAAAAGACCUCUAUGGCUGUACAACCUUGCGUUCAGCUUCCUGAGAAAUCUUUAGAAAUUGCUGUAAAGGCAGAUCACCACAGGCUGGCAUUCCCUGCUUGCUGCAGACACUUUCACAUGCAGCACUGGCUGGGCAGAGCAGCCAGAGCCCCAGCCCUGACUUACUUGCACGACAGCCUCAGGAAUCCUCCUGGUGCUGCCUUGCCAGCCUUGGGUAGUGCUGCACUGCAGGAAUACAGUGCCCAGGCUCUCAGAGCCAGCCCUUGAGCUUUGGUAGCUGCCAGGACAAAAGACAAUCUCUAAAUGUCAGUCAAUAUAAUCUCACAGACAUCACCUAUAACUUUACCUGGGCUUACCUGGGUUGCUGUGGAGGGUAGGGCACUGUUUCCCCUGACAUUCACAACGAACGCGUGCACCAGAGAAUACGAGGCUCCUCGUACACAGCGUAUUGUUCUGGAUUUCCUAUUUCUUCAGGGUUGUCUUGGCAACGAAGAGGGUUUGCCGCUAGAGGUGUGUGAAACACUGGGUAACAAAAAACAUCACAACUCCCACUUGUUUCAUUCCAUCACCCUUUUAAACCUGACUCUUUUUCAACCUGGAACGCUCUCAGUGUGCUGUAUGUCAGCAGGGGCAGCACAAAUCAACGCAGACUCCUCUGCCUUCCCCUCUCCCCCAACAGAGUGAUUUUGAAAAUAACAAAAAAAUGACAUUUUUCAUUGGAAAAUGAUGUCUGUCCAAAUACUGUUACAUGCUCUGUUCCUAUUCUCCCUUCAACUACCUUCUUAGGGAAUAGUUCCCUGGCAGGCAAUGGAACUGACAGUUCUAGAAUGGAUGAAUGGAUUUAAGCAAAAUCAGGAUGGGAUUUUUCAUUUGUUUGCUUGUUUUAAUUAAUGACAUUUUUAGUAAUAUCAUUGAAGUCAAUGGGGUGACUGUGGACUGAUUUCAAUAUGACCACGUCUGCCAAUUUGCCCUAAACAAAAGGAGCCUUUCCUUUGUACAGAGAAGAGAUGCUGGACAGAGAAUGCUACACCUGGUCAGCAAACUAACGGAAGUGCCCCACUUGCCCUUCUGACUCAGCUCCUUCCAUGGACAAUAGACCUUUAUUUACUGUGGAUGAGGUCCUGGAGGUAUUCUGAAAAGUUUUUAAAGCAUCUGAGGAUGCACACAGAUGCAUCAACAUCACCUUGCUCAUUCAUGUAAUUUGCCUUUAUUUUUACUUACUGAAGGCAUUAAAGAAUUAACCCAAA
Molecule: long non-coding RNA, 2564 nt
Organism: Haemorhous mexicanus (house finch)
Lineage: Eukaryota; Metazoa; Chordata; Aves; Passeriformes; Fringillidae
Exons: 2
Source: RefSeq, a predicted model, not a curated record